UGGGGAAUUUUGGACAAUGGGGGCAACCCUGAUCCAGCCAUUCCGCGUGAGUGAAGAAGGCCUUCGGGUUGUAAAGCUCUUUCAGCUGGAACGAAACGGUGCGCUCUAACAUAGCGCGCUACUGACGGUACCAGCAGAAGAAGCACCGGCUAACUACGUGCCAGCAGCCGCGGUAAUACGUAGGGUGCGAGCGUUAAUCGGAAUUACUGGGCGUAAAGCGUGCGCAGGCGGAUUGUUAAGCAAGACGUGAAAUCCCCGGGCUUAACCUGGGAAUGGCGUUUUGAACUGGCAGUCUAGAGUGCGUCAGAGGGAGGUGGAAUUCCACGUGUAGCAGUGAAAUGCGUAGAGAUGUGGAGGAACACCGAUGGCGAAGGCAGCCCCCUGGGAUGACACUGACGCUCAUGUACGAAAGCGUGGGUAGCAAACA
This 427-nucleotide ribosomal RNA is filed under the name uncultured bacterium. RNAcentral describes it as "bacterial SSU rRNA". It matches the Rfam family "Bacterial small subunit ribosomal RNA", at positions 355 to 774 of the family's 1533-position model. The record is from RNAcentral.